GCCGGGGUCAGAGCCAAGCUUAGCCCUUCCCCAGAGAUGGCAUGAGUAGCUGGACGUGAUGCCUAGGAGGGGACUGUAGGUCAUUUUUCUCCUCUUUCUAGCAGCCCGCCUCCGGUAAAAGUCUCUCAAGCCGUUGGCAAAUGCUGCGAGGACAGGAACUGUGGGGCGUUCAGAGGUCGAUCCAGGAGACUCCAACGCAAAAGGCAUCUUCCUUCACAGCCAGGCAAUUCCUCUGAGGCAGAAGCGGAUGAAAUGAUGGUAGGCCCUUCGCCAAGCCGUGAGGCAGCUCCAAGAUCCAGGGACCAGGUGGAGGUGGUGAAGAUGACCGCUAAAGGGAACGUGAAGGAUCACGGGGUGGCUUUGGCGCUGAGCGGCUUAGUGGCAGCAAUCUCCGCUCUCCUCCUCGCUGGGGGAGCCCUCCUUGUGCAUCAGAGGUGCAGCAACGCUGCUGUCUGACUUGUUUUAGAGGCGUGUUUCUUUGUGGCCGAGCAAUAAAGGACAGACUUUGGGUUCUGG
Long non-coding RNA from Caretta caretta (loggerhead turtle), 516 nucleotides. RefSeq lists it as uncharacterized. The record is from RefSeq and is a predicted model, not a curated record. Lineage: Eukaryota; Metazoa; Chordata; Testudines; Cheloniidae.